This is an RNA transcript of Mya arenaria, 2921 nucleotides long. RefSeq lists it as uncharacterized. Lineage: Eukaryota; Metazoa; Mollusca; Bivalvia; Myida; Myidae. The record is from RefSeq and is a predicted model, not a curated record. The transcript has 6 exons.
UACAUGUGUGCACAUCAACACUGCAAGUGACAUUUGUUUAAGAGAAUAUAAGAAACAAUGGGAUUCUAAAGGAACUUGACAAUUUUUGGUUAUUUCUGCUGAAGUCAUGACAACGACUGGGCAACUUGAUCAUCCGUCCCCUACACCCGGGGUAUCGCCUGAGAGCGCGGAAGACGGCGGAGUGCGCAUUGUCCUGAUCGUGUUGUGGGUGGCGGGCGGCGUGCUGCUUUUGUCGCUCUGUGCUCUCCUUGUGUGCAUUAUCAGAAGCCACAUAAAAGAACAGAGAAGCACUGGUAUGCGUGCUGGUACAAGUGGCCUGGCGGCUCCGCAGCAAGGCAGCGUCAACCCGACCUUCUCAAACUACGACGAGAUAUGGACGUGGAUCCCUAUAGUUACCGAGCACUCGGGAAACUGUCAGUCUCAGAUAAACCCGGGUCAGAGAAACAUAGACAUGACCCGGCGCAAUACAGAGUUGGUCAAUAAUCUCAGACUGCCCACGUACAGUGAAGCAGUAAACGGGAAUGGUAACGUGAAUAGACCACUCGUGUCCCAGGUACGUAUGACGUCACACAUAACGUCAGGACAGCAAACUAGCAGAAGUGGGGCUGCGGGUCAUCAGCAUUUGCCUAGCUUUGUGCCUUCAACUGGUACAAGUAAUAAUAAUCGGGAUGUCCCUGUCAGGCAUGGAGAGACCUGUGUUAACAUUCCCAUCCAAGGCACGUCAACCAGCGCCACGUCUGGUCCAUCAACUUCCCAGGUUAUCUUCCGGCCCACAAACACUUCCACUUCUCGGAACAACACAACACCAGAUGACAUUCCUGUGUCCAGGUCAUCAUUACAUGCUCACGUGACAAACAUAUCUGUGACGCCAUCUAGCGUUUCCGCUCUUCAGCAGGCACGUGCGCUAGUGGAAGGCGCUGGGAGCCGGGAACCUUAUAAGCCUCUACCGUCUGCACCCAGCCUCCAGCAGACCGAGCCUGAAAAUAGUCGCGUGUCAUCUAGUGCUAGACCUCGCAAUCAGCUGACCUCAUACAUUGCUCAAAGAACACAUUCACCGCGCGACAGUCAAACGGCGAAUAACUGUGUCACUGAUGUGCAUCACGCUGAAAGACGUCAACCUGGCGUAUGCAUUCAAAAUGGGCCGAAUGAAAACAGGGAGUCUCCGGUGUAUUCCGGACAUCUCCGGCAAGACUCGUACAUCAUGUAUCCUCAUCAUCGCAGGACACAGAACUCCGCCGGUUUUCGCCACAGUUCCGGAAGUGUGUUUAACUACUUUUGCAGCAACGGCAGCCGGUUUACGGUACAAGACAUUACGGACGGAGUGCAUCCGUCGCCUUACACAUUACCGGAAAUGACAUCAACUCUUGUGCCAUCAUCAGGGAGCUUGCGAUCAAGUAUGGAGACGCAGUAUUUUUAGAAGGAGGAUGCGGGCGUAAGCAUGAACCUAGCCGGAGCCGCCGGAUGUAGAUAUCCUGAGUCACAUCCGGCACAAACGAGUACUGUGUGAGGUUUGCAACCGGAAGUUGCUAUUCAUGGAAUGCAGCCACUGCCAGCAUAAUUUACGUUUCCCAGUGCCAACCAUGUGUACGUUGCCAGUGCAAGAAUUGUUUACGUUUCCAAGUGCCAACAAUAUGUACGUUGCCAGUGCAAGAAUUAUUUAUGUUUCCUAGUGCCAACAAUAUGUACGUUUCCCAGUGCCAACAAUAUGUACGUUGCCAGUGCAAGAAUUGUUUACGUUUUCAAGUGCCAACAAUAUGUACGUUGCCAGUGCAAGAAUUAUUUAUUUUUCCUAGUGCCAACAAUAUGUACGUUUCCCAGUGCCAACAAUAUAUAUGUUGCCAGUGCAAGAAUUGUUUACAUUUCCAAGUGCCAACAAUAUGUACGUUGCCAGUGCAAGAAUUGUUUACGUUUUCAAGUGCCAACAAUAUGUACGUUGCCAGUGCAAGAAUUAUUUAUGUUUCCUAGUGCCAACAAUAUGUACGUUUCCCAGUGCCAACAAUAUGUAUGUUGCCAGUGCAAGAAUUGUUUACGUUUCCAAGUGCCAACAAUAUGUACGUUGCCAGUGCAAGAAUUGUUUACGUUUCCAAGUGCCAACAAUAUGUACGUUGCCAGUGCAAGAAUUGUUUACGUUUCCAAGUGCCAACAAUAUGUAUGUUGCCAAUGCAAGAAUUAUUUACGUUUCCUAGUGCAAACAAUAUUUACGUUGCCAGUGCAAGAAUUAUUUACGUUUCCAAGUGCCAACAAUAUGUACGUUUCCCAGUGCAAGAAAUAUUUACGUUUACCAGUGCCAACAAUAUGUACGUUUCCCAGUGCAAGAAAUAUUUACGUUUACCAGUGCCAACAAUGUGUACGUUUAUACCUUCAAAUUUUAAAAAUAAAUUGCCAACAAAUUCCGAUCAUAACAUCAUUUAUAUAAAAAAAAUGGUUCAUUUCCAUAUUCAUAUAAAAAUGCGUCUGUAUUAUUUUGUGCCAAACAUUGCAAUACGUGUAUUUCAUUUAAUUGUUUAUUGAUAUUGUCAUUGAAAUCAAAAUAACGGUCAAGUUAUGUCAUUACUUUCUAUUGUUAGUAUAAAUAAUUAUGUAUGUUGAUGAUAUAUUUGUGUUUAUUAUGAAUGAAUGUUGUUGACUUAUUUGGGUGUAUUAUGAAUAUAUGUUGUUUAUACAUUUGCGUGUAUUAUGAAUUGGUUUGUGUUUAUAUACAUUACUUGGGUGUUUCAUGACUAUAAUUAUGGGAUUGAUAUAAUAUAAUGUUUCUACCUUAACUUGUUUGCUGCUGUCUUCCUAUUAUUUUAAAACACAUGAUGUUUGACGAUCUUUUAUGAUCUAGAAUUGUAUUUAUACCCCAAGUGCCAAAUCGCAUGUGUUCAUAUAAAAGUAUUACCAUUUCAAAUGUAUUAUGUGUAUUAAAAUACAUGUGUGUA